GAAGUACCCCGCUGAGCGCGACCUGCCCGGACACGCUCCCGACCCGCGGCGGCGCCGACCCGCGGCGGGGGGCGCAGAGCGCUCGGCCCCGAAAUUACUUCCUUACAAAACGAGGUGGGAGGAGAAGGGGGUCGGCUUUGACCAUCUGCAAACGCUGGACGUCGUCAGCGGCAGUGGUGGCGGGAGCUGGGAGUGGCGGGAGCUGGGAGUGGCGGGAGGGGAAGGGUUUAACCAGGAGGAACGUUGUGGGUGGGGAGAGACCAGAGGCCUUGGCAAUUAGAGACUUGGGUAAACAAGCCCAGAAAAGAGAUUGGAAAAGGAAACUUUUCGAACUUGAAGAGUAUGGGCAGUAACAGGGAAGGGAAAUGAGAAGAACCUUAAUCACCGCAGAGGAGAUGCCAGAGGCCCUGUGAGAAAGCUCCGGGUCCCAGGAAGUCACUGCAAACAGAAGCCCUGGUGCCAGCCAGAAAGAACAUCGUGUUUGAGUUGGGAAGGGAUUUGUGUGUGUCCUUCCAGAUAGGUCGAUAUCGCCCAUUGUGGAUGUUUAGCAAAAACGAGUGGAUCGUUAUCAUAUGGAAAACGUUCAAAUCUUUUGUGGGAGGGCUGAGCUACCUGGGAACGUGAAAUUAUUUGCAUAAUGUUUGGCGAGGCCAUGAGUAAUUCUACUAUUAUGAAGAGGAGUAAUUAGGAGUGGUUAACGGUUACUGAGAGCCGCUUCAUGCUAAGGACUUUGACAUGCAUUUUCUCAUUCCGUCCUCAGAACAACCGUUGCUACUUUACGGGUGCAGAAACUGAGGUUUGUAGAAAAUUGCCCAAGUUCACUUAGGCAGAGAGCACUGCCCUGAUUCCGAACCAGGCAGGCCCACAGAGAGCAAGAGCUCUUACCCACUGUAGCCUUCCCAGCAAUCAGUUUCUUAGAAAAUGUGUGUUUUCGCCGAACGCGGUGGCUCACGCCUGUAAUCCCAGCUCUUUGGGAGGCCGAGGCGGGUGGUUCGUUUGAGGCCAGGAGUUCGAGACCAGCCUUGCCAAUAUGGUGAAACCCCGUCUCUACUGAAAUACAAAAGAUUAGCCGGCCUUGGUGGUGCACGCCUGUCGUCCCAGUUGCUUGGGCGGCUGAGGCACGAGAAUCGCUUGAACCUGGGAGGCGGAGGUUGCAGUGAGCCGAGAUCGCGCCACUGCAUUCCAGCCUGGGUGACGGAAUAAGACUCUGUCUCAAAAAAGAAAAAGAAAAAAAAAGCGUGUUUUCAUAUUAGCUGUGCUGUUUAAUGAAAAGAUUGCAAAUUCGUUGCAUGGGCUCCCUAGAAGUGCUUAGUUUGGUUUACAGUAUUGGCCUUCAAAAUGUAUUGUAAAAAUUUGAAUUGAUUACCAACAUUUUAAACAUUGAGGGAUUGCAUGAAAAACCCAGAUUCCAGCAUCUCUUGGAAAACCAGAAUCUCUGACAACGUGGGAUCCAUUUUCCAAAAGUGCAAACUAGGUUUGAAGUGUGGUCGAAGCCACACCCUUUAGAGGAACCUAGGGUGCUCCUGUUCACCACACUCCCCGCUGUUUGCUUUUCCCAUUUACAUUAUCUGGCCUCAGUAGGCAUUUGAGGUUGUUUAUUUAUCUUAAAUCAUUCAGUCAACACAAACCAGCAAGUAUUUAUUUAUGGCUUGGUCCUGCUGAAGGUAUGGACAACAAUAUAAGCAUGGAACAAAACUGCUCUUGAGUUUAAACAACAUAGUUUCGAGGCUGAUGUUGGCUGUUUUUGAAUGGGGUAUAUACAAACGAGUAAAAGUGGACAGAAUUUAGGAAUCAUCACAAGACGCAGGAAGCACACUGGAGAUGCUGCCUUGAAAUCUAUUAUCCCCAAGUGGUAAUUCAAAACCACUCCAGGCUCAUUUUGACUUACCUAAUACAUAAGGAACACCGUUAACUUUUUGGUUGCAUAAAUUAUUAAAUUUCUGUCGUUCAAAUACGCACCCUGAAAUGCAGAGAAUAUACUCAACAACCACCAAAAAAAAAAAAAAAAAGUGAAUCACAACAUUGUUUACCUAUAAAAGGUAUGUUAAUCCCAUCCUCUAACAUUUUCAUUAGAAAAGAAUUGGUCAUGUGACUCACACUGGCUACAAACCUUAGGCAACUCUGUUUUUUAGGGAAUUGCAAAUUCAGCUUGCAAGGAGGAAAAGAGCGGAAAGAAGUCGGGCGAGGUGGGUUUUGGACAUGGGUCAGAUUCAGCUGGUUUAUAGAGGACUUUUAAAGAUUUAGGAUUUGAGAUGGUCCAUAAACUCUUUGGCAGAUCUAACAUUCUCUAAAGAGAAUUGGCCAGGCAUAGUGGCUCACGCCUGUAAUCUCAGCACUGUGGGAGGUGGAGGCUGGGGGAUCGCUUGAGUCCAGGAGUUGAUGACCAACCUGGGUAACAUGGUGAAACCCUGUCUCUGCAGAUAAUACAAGUAUAAGCUGUAGUGUCAGCUACUCAGGAGGCUGAGGUGGGAGGAUUGCUUGAGCCAAGGAGGAGGAGGUUGCAGUGAGCUAUGAUCGAGCCACUCCACUCUAGCUUGAGCGACAAAGGGAGAACCCUGUCUCAAAAAAAAAAAAAAAAGCUAGAAGCAGAGUGAAUAGCUUCUUUUAACUGUAUAUCCUCUGGAAAAGGGAGGUAUCAUUUAAUGUUGGGCUUGCAACAAAUAUAAACAUGGAGAUAUUUGACCAAACGAAAUAAUUAAUAAAAAUGUAUCAUGAAGCGUUAGAAUUCCCUACUAUUUUUUUUUAAGUAGGACUGGUGAAAAUGACAUUUUAAAAAACUAUUAGAUAAUCCUUUCUCGUGAAACAAGUUCAAAAAUGACAGUGCACAUCUGAUCAUUUCGAUGUCAGUGUUUAAAAAAAGAAAAAUGUAUACGUAUCUAUAUAUAUAUAUGAACCACAAUGACAAAACAAAAUAAGCAUGAUUAGUAAUAGAAUAGUCAUUCAUAUAUUUCUUGCAGAAAAUAGGAUUUGACAGUUAAACAAGAGGACAUGAGAUAUAAAUGAGGCAUAUGUAGAGUCAGCCUGGGAUAAAAUAUACAGGCUGUAGAUCGAUUGUGUUUGUUCUAAUAAAAGUGUUUGUUGUUGUUGUUUUCCUGUAUAGCAUGUUUGUUAACAGGAAAUUAGCCAGAGUAUUUGAUGGAUUAUAUCUCUCACGCCUGUAAUCCCAGC
This 3168-nucleotide long non-coding RNA is filed under the name Homo sapiens (human). RNAcentral describes it as "non-protein coding lnc-CCBE1-3:2". The record is from RNAcentral. Lineage: Eukaryota; Metazoa; Chordata; Mammalia; Primates; Hominidae.